CUAGCCAACCUUCUGGCUUCACUUCACAAGCAGGGUGGGGUCGGAGUUAAUACUGGAUUGAGAGAUCACCAGGGAAUCGCAGUCUGUAGGCUAGA
This 95-nucleotide ribosomal RNA is filed under the name Notechis scutatus (mainland tiger snake). Lineage: Eukaryota; Metazoa; Chordata; Lepidosauria; Squamata; Elapidae. The record is from RNAcentral.